RNAcentral lists this long non-coding RNA (252 nucleotides) under Pan troglodytes (chimpanzee). Its description in RNAcentral is "long non-coding RNA NONPTRT004881". The record is from RNAcentral. Lineage: Eukaryota; Metazoa; Chordata; Mammalia; Primates; Hominidae.
CUUUAGGAAUCACAUAUUUGUGAUGUAUUGUUCUCUCAUUUUCCCCUCUAACAUCUAAUCAGUAAACCAGUCAGGUUAUUUUCACUUCUAAAGUAGUUCUUGUCUCCAUCAUCUUUUAUUAACUCUCACUCCCCUAAAAUUAUCAUACUCCACUGAACAUUCUUUGUAGCACUAAAAAUGUGUAUUAUUUUCUAGUUCACUCCAUUCAGAUUUUUCACUGGAAGUCAUUUUUAAGGUAUAAUUUCGUACACU